GGUAGCAAUACAACCGGCGCACGGGUGAGUAACGCGUACACAACAUACCAUAUACUGGAGUAUAGCUUUGGGAAACUGAAGGUAAUCCUCCAUAACAUUGCGAGAGGGCAUCUGAUUGCAAUUAAAGUUUCGGCGGUAUAUGAUAGGUGUGCGUUUGAUUAGCUAGUUGGUAGGGUAACGGCCUACCAAGGCGACGAUCAAUAGCUGGCGUGAGAGCGCGACCAGCCACACUGGAACUGAGACACGGUCCAGACUCCUACGGGAGGCAGCAGUAGGGAAUAUUGGACAAUGGAGGAAACUCUGAUCCAGCCAUGCCGCGUGAUAGAUGAAGGCCCUCUGGGUUGUAAAUAUCUUUUAUCUGGGAAGAAACACUCCUAUUCUUAGGAACUUGACGGUACCAGAGGAAUAAGCACCGGCUAACUCCGUG
Molecule: ribosomal RNA, 427 nt
Filed under: uncultured bacterium
Lineage: Bacteria
Description: bacterial SSU rRNA
Rfam family: Bacterial small subunit ribosomal RNA
Source: RNAcentral